RNAcentral lists this ribosomal RNA (465 nucleotides) under uncultured bacterium. RNAcentral describes it as "partial 16S ribosomal RNA". It matches the Rfam family "Bacterial small subunit ribosomal RNA", at positions 30 to 507 of the family's 1533-position model. The record is from RNAcentral.
AGCGAACGCUGGCGGCAUGCCUAACACAUGCAAGUCGCACGGGUCGGCUUCGGCCGGUCAGUGGCGGACGGGUGAGGAACGCGUAGGGAUCUGUCCUCUGGGGGGGGAUAACCGCGGGAAACUGCGGCUAAGACCGCAUGGUGCGCCGGUGUGAGAGCCGGUGUCAAAGUCGCGCAUCGCGAGGUGUGUGUCGCCGGGGGGUGAGCCCGCGUCCGAUUAGCUGGGUGGCGGGGUAGUGGCCCACCAAGGCGUCGAUCGGUAGCUGGUCGGAGAGGGGGAGCAGGCACACUGGGGCUGAGAACAGGGCCAGACUCCUACGGGAGGGAGGAGGGGGGGAUAUUGGGAAAUGGGGGAAAGCCUGAGCCAGCAAGGCCGGGGGGGGGAAGAAGGGCUUAGGGUUGGAAAGCCCUUUUGGGCGGGAGGAUAGGGACAGGACCGGGAGAAAAAGCCCCGGCUAACUUUGUG